UACCUAUGCAUCUUCCUACGCCACAUGCUAGGCUACCUUUUAAUUAAUUAAAGAUCCCGUAGGUGUAAUCGAAAUGGCAACAGCGAAAGCUUCGAGGGCGAAGAAGACCGAUAACCCACCCGCUGAUACUACUAGACAACUAACGUCAACCCAAUUCUUGCGCACAUGGCGUCACUACGACACGGACGGGAACGGAUACAUUGAGAAUGAUGAGCUAGAUGCAUUUCUGAAGGAAAUGUUGUCUGAUCAUUGUGGUCAGGAGAUUGAUGAGUCCUUAUUGGCUGCUAGCAAAGCAAAGUUUCUUGCGAAAUAUGAUCAGAAUUAUGACGGUCGAAUUUCAUUGGAAGAGCUGGCUGUGAUCCUUCCAACAGAAGAGAGUUUCUUACUAAGAUUUCGAGGCAAAAUAAACCUCUCUAGUGUCGACUUUAUGCAGAUAUGGCGUCAAUAUGAUGAAGAUAGGAGCGGUUUUAUCGAGGCAGAUGAAUUGAAGGGAUUUAUUCGAGAUUUAAUGCUAACCAAUAAGGAAGACAUCUCCCCCCAGAUUAUUGAUGACUAUGAGCAAACAAUGUUGGAACUGUUUGAUGUAAAUCAUGAUGGAUGUUUGGAUUUAAAUGAACUAGCUAAAGUCUUGCCAGUGGAGGAGAACUACAUCUUGAAGUUGAAGGGUAAGAAACAACUGACUCGCAACGAAAUGACAGAGUUCUUCCAGCACUAUGACCAGGACAAUAAUGGUAAAAUAUCUGGAGCAGAACUGAUGGCUCUUUUGAGGGACAUGCUACAGGCAGAGGGCAAGGAACCUAACUUUCAAGAAAUUAAGGAGUUCCAUCAGGCUAUUCUUAGUCUCUGUGAUGUGAAUCAUGACGGGAUGAUAGAUGAAGCAGAACUCACCCUGUUACUGUCUCCUUCAGCUAAAAAGUGACCUACAAGUGUGAAGGUGACGCAUUAACUAUGGAUGUGACUACUAGUAGACAACAGUAUUUGAACAUCUAUUUUAGCAAGUAUAGAUAUUACAAGAUCGUUUAGAAAAAUAGACACGUGUCAAUUAAACUCAGGAGUAGAUAGCUAGGAGAGAAGAAAGAUGUGUGGGAGGAACUUCAGACGGAGGAACAGGGAAGAGGAGAAAGAGCUAGGGUUUAUGUUUAUGACAUACUUUUGUAGUCACUAUAUUUUUGACCCUAGUUUUGGAACUAGAAGCUCUUGAUCAUUUGUCAUGAAACUUUCUUAAAAUUCCAGCUAGACUUACAACAAUUCAAAAAUCACAU
This is an RNA transcript of Corticium candelabrum, 1262 nucleotides long. It is a transcript of the gene named calretinin-like, with no coding region annotated. The record is from RefSeq and is a predicted model, not a curated record. The transcript is spliced from 12 exons. Lineage: Eukaryota; Metazoa; Porifera; Homoscleromorpha; Homosclerophorida; Plakinidae.